RNAcentral lists this ribosomal RNA (468 nucleotides) under uncultured bacterium. RNAcentral describes it as "partial 16S ribosomal RNA". It matches the Rfam family "Bacterial small subunit ribosomal RNA", at positions 28 to 507 of the family's 1533-position model. The record is from RNAcentral.
GACGAACGCUGGCGGCGUGCUUAACACAUGCAAGUCGAACGGAAAGGCCCUGCUUUUGUGGGGUGCUCGAGUGGCGAACGGUUGAGUAACACGUGAGUAACCUGCCCUUGACUUUGGUAUAACUUCAGGAAACUGGGGCUAAUACCGGAUAGGAGCUCCUGCUGCAUGGUGGGGGUUGGAAAGUUUCGGCGGUUGGGGAUGGACUCGCGGCUUAUCAGCUUGUUGGUGGGGUAGUGGCUUACCAAGGCUUUGACGGGUAGCCGGCCUGAGAGGGUGACCGGCCACAGUGGGACUGAGAUACGGCCCAGACUCCUACGGGAGGCAGCAGUGGGGAAUAUUGCAAAAUGGGCGGAAGCCUGAUGCAGCAACGCCGCGUGCGGGAUGACGGCCUUCGGGUUGUAAACCGCUUUCGCCUGUGACGAAGCGUGAGUGACGGUAAUGGGUAAAGAAGCACCGGCUAACUACGUG